RNAcentral lists this unclassified non-coding RNA (343 nucleotides) under soil metagenome. RNAcentral's name for it is "partial contains 5.8S ribosomal RNA, internal transcribed spacer 2, and large subunit ribosomal RNA". The stretch from base 1 to 120 matches the Rfam family "5.8S ribosomal RNA", at positions 35 to 154 of the family's 154-position model. The record is from RNAcentral.
GAUGAAGAACGUAGCGAAAUGCGAUAAGUAAUGCGAAUUGCAGAUUUCAGUGAGUCAUCGAAUCUUUGAACGCACAUUGCGCCCGCCAGUAUUCUGGCGGGCAUGCCUGUUCGAGCGUCAUUUCAACCCUCGAGCCCCCCCGGGGGCCUCGGUGUUGGGGGACGGCACACCAGCCGCCCCCGAAAUGCAGUGGCGACCCCGCCGCAGCCUCCCCUGCGUAGUAGCACACACCUCGCACCGGAGCGCGGAGGCGGUCACGCCGUAAAACGCCCAACUUUCUUAGAGUUGACCUCGGAUCAGGUAGGAAUACCCGCUGAACUUAAGCAUAUCAAUAAGCGGAGGA